RNAcentral lists this ribosomal RNA (253 nucleotides) under uncultured bacterium. RNAcentral's name for it is "partial 16S ribosomal RNA". It matches the Rfam family "Bacterial small subunit ribosomal RNA", at positions 524 to 776 of the family's 1533-position model. The record is from RNAcentral.
UACAGAGGUCCCAAGCGUUGUUCGGAUUCACUGGGCGUAAAGGGUGCGUAGGCGGUCGGGUAAGUCUGAUGUGAAAUCUCCAAGCUCAACUUGGAAAUGGCAUCGGAUACUAUUCGGCUCGAGGAAUGGAGGGGAGACUGGAAUACUUGGCGUAGCAGUGAAAUGCGUAGAUAUCAAGUGGAACACCAGUGGCGAAGGCGGCUCACUGGCCCGGAACUGACGCUGAGACGCGAAAGCGUGGGGAGCAAACAGG